This 2541-nucleotide long non-coding RNA is filed under the name Homo sapiens (human). RNAcentral describes it as "HSALNT0168273". The record is from RNAcentral. Lineage: Eukaryota; Metazoa; Chordata; Mammalia; Primates; Hominidae.
GUUUUUCUAGCACCAGGGGAUAGCAAGGGCAAGUAGGCCCCCUUGAGCUCAUCACUGCCCUUCUUCAGGAGGAGCUAAAGAGGGGGAAAGACAGGGUGCAUCUCUCCAGGGCCCCCUGCCCCAGUCAAACACCCCUGUGGCCAUAGCUCCUGGGCUCCCAGUGUGCCAUGGGGAAAGCACUUCCUCAUCCGGAAUCGCUCGUUACUCGUGCUACAUGAAGAACUCAGACAUCACAGAGGGGGCAGUCGCCAGGAAGCAGAGCUCUGGACUGUGAUUCCAUGAACUCGCGCACCCCCUCCUUCCCUUCAUCCAAACAAGGCCCUUUGGCGUGAAUAAUAGCUCAGCGGCUCCGAAGCCGUAUUGAUCGGCUGCAAACCCGGCUCCGCCGAGAGCUGCCAGGGCUUUUCCUGGGGGCAGGACCAGCACCGCUCAGCACAGCCUCCUCUCCCCCUCCCACUUCCCCGGCCUCCCCCAGGUGUGUUCAGGAGGGGACAAUACCUGGGGGAGCCCAGGCCCUCUCCAGCUCAGUGCCACUUCGUUACCGCAACUUUGCUGUUUUUCACUUAUUUUGCCAGGGUAAGCACCUAAGUUAGAGAGAAAUGUUUUUUCGUGACGAGGCCCCACAGAGUUGAGAAUGAACACAUCCUCCCGCUCCAGUUUCUCCCCAGAAUGUUCUGCCAAGGACCCAGGCCAUAGAGGCAUCCUGGGCUGACACCUGUGGGGGCCCUAUUAUACCCCCAGCGCUGACAAGCACUUCGGCAUCCUGUACCACAUUUUCGCGUUACUCUCCCCUGUCUCAUCCCAUCAGAAAAGAGGAGCCAAGAACAUGGCUAGGACUCACCACCUCCUUGAGGGAUGGGGACUGUUGCAAAAUUCAACAGACGUGCAUCAGCCGCAGGCUGGGAGACCAGCAGAGACCAAAGCCUGCCAGCCCCACUCCCUGAGCCUCUGACCAGACUGUCCCUCCCCGUGUUUGCACCUCUUCUGGACACAGGAAGUGGUCAAGGCCUUGACCCUUUGAGGGAUGCCAGGCCCCUGCGCAGUGACACCCUCGCGGUGGUGGAUGCCUGAAACCCCACCCCUAGAGAGGCCGUCCUGUGGUUUCUGCCCUGGAACACUGGAAAAAUGCAGAUUCAUUUUUCCCUAGACAGCUUCAGUCCUACCAGCCACAGAUCCCUCUAAGUGAGUUGUCUGACCCUUUCCUGGGGGCAGAUUUUGGGUUUGGGGGAAGACAGACCCACUACAUGAGGGAGCCUGAGUGGUCUUUGGGAGAAAGGUUAGAAGGAAAGAGGGGCUUGGUUCCCUAGGACCAGCUCCCUGGAGGUUGCCCCGUAUCAGCUGCCUUCAGCCUUGCCUUAAAACCCACUCCCUGGCCAGGACCCCGUUCUUCUAAGGAUUGCGUUCUGGCUUAGGGCUGCAUGCAGGCAAACAUGGGAGCCUGAGAAUGGGCUCUGCAAAGGAGCAGUAAUGGGUUGAGGGUCUCCUGACAGGUCCCACAGCCAUGCCCUGGCUGAGAAGGAUCGAGAAAGAGCAGGGAGGCUGGGUUGGAGUUUGGACAGCUAACCCUGGGGGCAGGAAAAUUGUGUCCCUCCUCUGGCCCUCCUGAGGCUGAAGGAAGUCCAAAUCCGCUGUGGUGUACAAUUUGGCAUUUGGGGAAGGACCCAAAAGGGAUUCUUUUCUGCCCUGAGCAGACCUUCCCCACACUGCCACAUCCAGGGGUCUUGGCACAGAGGGGACACUGUGGCCGUCAGAGACUCUCCGCUCAAUUUCCAUCUUCUCUCAUUCAUCCACACCCACCCUUCCAGAGCUCUACACUGCAUUUCUAAAGAAAGGGAGAAACUCGAGUGAGAACUAGAGGGCUUCACUGAGCUCAUUAUUAUCCCCGACAAGACUUCUAAAUAAUCUAGCCUUUCCCUGUUUGAAGCAUGAGAGGUGUAAGCAGAUUUAUUCAUUCAUUCAUUCAAUCAAUAUUUAUUGAGCAUCUACUAUGUUCCAGGCCCCGAAGACACAUGGUGAAGAAGAUAGAUAAGAAAAGAAAGAAGGUAGUCUCACAGCACUGGAAGUCAGAAAACUAUUUUCCUUUCCAGAAUCCUGACUCACUCCAAUCCCGGGCAAGGUCAUUCUCAGGGUCUCAAAAUCACAUUGCGAUGCCUGUGCCUCUGCCACCUUCUACACUGCCCCCUGAGAUGAAUGCACCAUCACUGUGAAUUACUAGGCAAAAUCUUCUCCAAGUGGACAAUGCUGUAUGUUCAUUCCUCCUUGCAAUCCCCAUGACUGCAUUAGCAAAGGAGCCCCGCUGAGGCUGAGUAGGGCUGACACUUGCCUGCAGGUGGGCAGGUCCCCAUCAGCACUGGCCCUACUUCCAGGACUGGCCUAGGAGAGGCCAGGGAUAGGAAUGGGGACUGUUUAGAUCGGGGCCGACUUGGAGGAUUUUUUCCUCCUGCUUAUUAAAUGUUAAAGGUUUGACUUGGCAGGCAAUCAGGAGCCCAAAAUAUCAUAAAAGGGAAAAAAGUUGCCGAGUGGCUAAGAGGUGCACCACGG